Molecule: ribosomal RNA, 447 nt
Filed under: uncultured bacterium
Lineage: Bacteria
Description: partial 16S ribosomal RNA
Rfam family: Bacterial small subunit ribosomal RNA
Source: RNAcentral
AGCGAACGCUGGCGGCAGGCCUAACACGUGCAAGUCGAGCGCCCAGCAAUGGGAGCGGCAGACGGGAGAGUAACACGUGGGAACAUGCCCUUCAGUACGGAACAACCAAGGGAAACUUUGGCUAAUACCGUAUACGCCCGUAAGGGGAAAGAUUUAUCGCUGAAGGAUUGGCCCGCGUCUGAUUAGCUAGUUGGUGGGGUAAUGGCCCACCAAGGCGACGAUCAGUAGCUGGUCUGAGAGGAUGAUCAGCCUCACUGGGACUGAGACACGGCCCAGACUCCUACGGGAGGCAGCAGUGGGGAAUAUUGGACAAUGGGCGCAAGCCUGAUCCGGCCAUGCCGCGUGGAUGAUGAAGGCCUUAGGGUUGUAAAGUCCUUUCGACGGGGAAGAUAAUGACGGUACCCGUAGAAGAAGCCCCGGCUAACUUCGUGCCAGCCGCCGCAGUAA